Molecule: ribosomal RNA, 173 nt
Filed under: Enterococcus casseliflavus
Lineage: Bacteria; Bacillati; Bacillota; Bacilli; Lactobacillales; Enterococcaceae
Also listed under: 1 other name
Description: partial 16S ribosomal RNA
Rfam family: Bacterial small subunit ribosomal RNA
Source: RNAcentral
CAUUAUGAGAGUUUGAUCCUGGCUCAGGACGAACGCUGGCGGCGUGCCUAAUACAUGCAAGUCGAACGCUUUUUCUUUCACCGGAGCUUGCUCCAUCGAAAGAAAAAGAGUGGCGAACGGGUGAGUAACACGUGGGUAACCUGCCCAUCAGAAGGGGAUAACACUUGGAAACA